CCUACGGGAGGCAGCAGUGGGGAAUAUUGGGCAAUGGAGGAAACUCUGACCCAGCGACGCCGCGUGAGGGAUGAAGGCCUUCGGGUUGUAAACCUCUUUCAGUAGGGAAGAAGCGAAAGUGACGGUACCUACAGAAGAAGCACCGGCUAACUAUGUGCCAGCAGCCGCGGUAAUACAUAGGGUGCAAGCGUUGUCCGGAAUUAUUGGGCGUAAAGAGCUCGUAGGUGGUUCGAUACGUCGGAUGUGAAAAUCAGGGGCUCAACCCCUGACCUGCAUCCGAUACGGUCGAGCUAGAGUUUGGUAGGGGAGACUGGAAUUCCUGGUGUAGCGGUGGAAUGCGCAGAUAUCAGGAGGAACACCGAUGGCGAAGGCAGGUCUCUGGGCCAAUACUGACACUGAGGAGCGAAAGCGUGGGGAGCGAACAGGAUUAGAUACCCUGGUAGUCCACGCCGUAAACGGUGGGCGCUAGUUGUGCGAACCUUCCACGGUUUGUGCGACGCAGCUAACGCAUUAAGCGCCCCGCCUGGGGAGCGACGNCGACAAGUAACUAAACUANAANAGAGUAGACGCGNGAGACGCGACGACGACGACGACGAGGAGAG
This 602-nucleotide ribosomal RNA is filed under the name uncultured bacterium. RNAcentral's name for it is "bacterial SSU rRNA". The stretch from base 1 to 524 matches the Rfam family "Bacterial small subunit ribosomal RNA", at positions 338 to 873 of the family's 1533-position model. The record is from RNAcentral.